ACCGCUGUAGCUCAGGGGAUAGAGCAACCUUUUGACUGAAGGGUGGGUCGUAGGUUCGAAUCCUACCAGUGGUG
Molecule: transfer RNA, 74 nt
Filed under: Actinomycetota bacterium
Lineage: Bacteria; Bacillati; Actinomycetota
Description: Actinobacteria bacterium tRNA-Val
Rfam family: tRNA
About the family: Transfer RNA (tRNA) molecules are approximately 80 nucleotides in length. Their secondary structure includes four short double-helical elements and three loops (D, anti-codon, and T loops).
Source: RNAcentral